GAGCGGACGCCGCCGAGUCGCCCUCCGGGCGAGCCGGGGACCCACCGCAGCACUGGGGUGAAUCCGCUCCUGGACCCGUGUCCGGGAGGGGUAGGGCCGCUUCCCGCCCGAACCCGUCAGCUAACCCGGUAGGCGGCCAUCGGGAGAAACG
Molecule: small RNA, 151 nt
Filed under: Geodermatophilus pulveris
Lineage: Bacteria; Bacillati; Actinomycetota; Actinomycetes; Geodermatophilales; Geodermatophilaceae
Description: c-di-AMP sequence
Rfam family: c-di-AMP riboswitch aptamer (ydaO/yuaA leader)
About the family: This family represents a conserved RNA structure found upstream of the ydaO and yuaA genes in Bacillus subtilis and related genes in other bacteria. The ydaO/yuaA element is thought to act as a genetic "off" switch for the ydaO and yuaA genes in its native state. It is believed that the element may be triggered during osmotic shock leading to activation of ydaO, a predicted amino acid transporter gene, and members of the yuaA-yubG operon which code for KtrA and KtrB K+ transporters.
Source: RNAcentral